GAGUUUGAUCCUGGCUCAGAACGAACGCUGGCGGCGUGCCUAACACAUGCAAGUCGAACGGAUUUGAGGAGCUUGCUUCUCAAGUUAGUGGCGCACGGGUGAGUAACGCGUAGAUAAUCUGCCUGAUGAUCUGGGAUAACACUCCGAAAGGGGUGCUAAUACCGCAUAUGCCCCGGGGGGGAAAGGGGGGGAUCGCAAGACCUCUCGCUUUCGGAGUGGCCGAUGUCGGAUUAGCUAGUUGGUGGGGUAAAGGCUCACCAAGGCGACGAUCCGUAGCGGGUCUGARAGGAUGAUCCGCCACACUGGGACUGAGACACGGCCCAGACUCCUACGGGAGGCAGCAGUGGGGAAUUUUGCGCAAUGGGGGAAACCCUGACGCAGCAACGCCGCGUGAGUGAUGAAGGCUUUCGGGUCGUAAAGCUCCGUCAGAGGGGAAGAAAUGGAAACGGUUAAUACCCGUUUUUCUUGACGGUACCCUCAAAGGAAGCACCGGCUAACUCCGUGCCAGCAGCCGCGGUAAUAC
This 523-nucleotide ribosomal RNA is filed under the name uncultured Geobacteraceae bacterium. Its description in RNAcentral is "bacterial SSU rRNA". It matches the Rfam family "Bacterial small subunit ribosomal RNA", at positions 9 to 526 of the family's 1533-position model. Lineage: Bacteria; Pseudomonadati; Thermodesulfobacteriota; Desulfuromonadia; Geobacterales; Geobacteraceae. The record is from RNAcentral.